GCAGCCGCCGCGGUAAUACGUAGGUGGCAAGCGUUGUCCGGAAUUAUUGGGCGUAAAGGGCUCGCAGGCGGUUUCUUAAGUCUGAUGUGAAAGCCCCCGGCUCAACCGGGGAGGGUCAUUGGAAACUGGGAAACUUGAGUGCAGAAGAGGAGAGUGGAAUUCCACGUGUAGCGGUGAAACGCGUAGAUAUAUGGAGGAACACCAGUGGCGAAGGCGACUCUCUGGUCUGUAACUGACGCUGAGGCUCGAAAGCGUGGGUAGCAAACAGGAUUAGAUACCCGCGUAGUCCCUGUCUCUUAUAC
Molecule: ribosomal RNA, 302 nt
Filed under: uncultured bacterium
Lineage: Bacteria
Description: partial 16S ribosomal RNA
Rfam family: Bacterial small subunit ribosomal RNA
Source: RNAcentral